RNAcentral lists this ribosomal RNA (511 nucleotides) under uncultured bacterium. Its description in RNAcentral is "partial 16S ribosomal RNA". It matches the Rfam family "Bacterial small subunit ribosomal RNA", at positions 28 to 506 of the family's 1533-position model. The record is from RNAcentral.
GAUGAACGCUGGCGGCGUGCCUAAUACAUGCAAGUCAAACGAAACUUCUUUAUCACCGAGUGCUUGCACUCACCGAUAAAGAGUUGAGUGGCGAACGGGUGAGUAACACGUGGGCAACCUGCCCAAAAGAGGGGGAUAACACUUGGAAACAGGUGCUAAUACCGCAUAACCAUAGUUACCGCAUGGUAACUAUGUAAAAGGUGGCUAUACUACCGCUUUUGGAUGGGCCCGCGGCGCAUUAGCUAGUUGGUAGGGUAAAGGCUUACCAAGGCAAUGAUGCGUAGCCGAAUUGAGAGGUUGAUCGGCCACAUUGGGACUGAGACACGGCCCAAACUCCUACGGGAGGCAGCAGUAGGGAAUCUUCCACAAUGGGCGAAAGCCUGAUGGAGCAACGCCGCGUGGGUGAAGAAGGUCUUCGGAUCGUAAAACCCUGUUGUUAGAGAAGAAAGUGCGUGAGAGUAACGGUUCACGUUUCGACGGUAUCUAACCAGAAAGCCACGGCUAACUACGU